Gossypium raimondii (Peruvian cotton) is the source of this 107-nucleotide small nucleolar RNA. It matches the Rfam family "Plant small nucleolar RNA R71". Rfam says of the family: R71 is a member of the C/D box family of snoRNAs containing the C (UGAUGA) and D (CUGA) box motifs. The record is from Rfam. NCBI's taxonomy places the organism in Eukaryota, Viridiplantae, Streptophyta, Magnoliopsida, Malvales, Malvaceae.
UAUUCAUAAUGUGGGCAUCUCUGUAUUAGUGUUUUAAAAUGCUCCCAAGCUUCAUGAAAGCUUUCUCCUUCUAACUAUUUGAAUGUUGUGAUCUCUCUCCUCAGUUG